Small nuclear RNA from Pseudophryne corroboree (corroboree frog), 195 nucleotides. RefSeq annotates it as U2 spliceosomal RNA. The record is from RefSeq and is a predicted model, not a curated record. The transcript has a single exon. Lineage: Eukaryota; Metazoa; Chordata; Amphibia; Anura; Myobatrachidae.
AGGCCACUGAUGCUUUUGGCUAAGAUCAAGUGUAGUACUGUAUCUGUUCUCAUAAGUUUAAUCUCUGAUACGCCCACUAUCUGGAGGCCAUAUAUUAAAUGGAUUUUUAGAACAGGGAGAUGGGAAAAGAGCUUGCUAUGUCCACUCUAUGCUUUAACCACAUAUUGCAGUACUUCCACGACCAGUGCACCUUUC